Molecule: long non-coding RNA, 549 nt
Organism: Dalotia coriaria
Lineage: Eukaryota; Metazoa; Arthropoda; Insecta; Coleoptera; Staphylinidae
Exons: 3
Source: RefSeq, a predicted model, not a curated record
ACUAUCAAAACAUAAGUGAAAAUUUUGAAUGACAGAUAAUAAUGUUAAAAUUCAAAUCUAUAAAUUAAAAUAUAUAAAUUUUGUAAUUUAAUCUAGAGUAUUUUUUACGUUUACAUUAUGAGCCAUGUAUUGACUUUAUUAAUUAUCCUACUCUUUCCAUCAAUUUGUAUGUCCAUUAGUUGCAAAGUUUGUACAUUAUGCGACGGAUCAGAUGAAUACCUUGUUGAACACUGUGAAUUAUGCACCUAUAUGCGAUUUGUAGACGAACAUGACAUGACUGAAUAUAGCAUUGGCAAAUUAUGUGAUCGAGCAUGUGAUAACCUUCCUAUAGAUUUAGAAAAACGUCUCAUCGAGAAAAAUGGACGAUGUUACAGUUGUUAUACUGACCUUUGCAACAAAAGUAACCUGCCAAAAAUCAACAGUAAUCUUCUAAUCAUAGUUAUUUUCGUAUUUAUCGCAUUCUCUUCAUGUAAAUGUAAAUGUAUAUAAACAAAAAUUAAGCAGUGUAAAUAAAUUUAAUGUAUAAAUUUAAUAAACAUGUUAAAGUAA